UACGGGGGGAGCAAGCGUUGUUCGGAUUUACUGGGCGUAAAGGGCGCGUAGGCGGCCAGCACAAGUCAGUUGUGAAAUCUCCGAGCUUAACUCGGAAAGGUCAACUGAUACUGUGCGGCUAGAGUGCGGAAGGGGCAACUGGAAUUCUUGGUGUAGCGGUGAAAUGCGUGGAUAUCAAGAGGAACACCUGCGGCGAAGGCGGGUUGCUGGGCCGACACUGACGCUGAGGCGCGAAAGCCAGGGGAGCGAACGGG
RNAcentral lists this ribosomal RNA (254 nucleotides) under uncultured bacterium. Its description in RNAcentral is "partial 16S ribosomal RNA". It matches the Rfam family "Bacterial small subunit ribosomal RNA", at positions 524 to 776 of the family's 1533-position model. The record is from RNAcentral.